Molecule: non-coding RNA, 99 nt
Organism: Brachypodium distachyon (stiff brome)
Lineage: Eukaryota; Viridiplantae; Streptophyta; Magnoliopsida; Poales; Poaceae
Source: Rfam
GCCCGCACUGAAACAGUGCUGGUGAACGGCGGCCGUAACUAUAACGGUCCUAAGGUAGCGAAAUUCCUUGUCGGGUAAGUUCCGACCCGCACGAAAGGC